This 2138-nucleotide long non-coding RNA is filed under the name Nicotiana tabacum (common tobacco). RNAcentral describes it as "long non-coding RNA (NTAB_LNC006732)". The record is from RNAcentral. Lineage: Eukaryota; Viridiplantae; Streptophyta; Magnoliopsida; Solanales; Solanaceae.
GCAAACUCGAAUCCAUAGAUCAACGUGGGAAAAUAACCUUUAGCACUUCCUUUUCCAAUUAUCAAACAAAUGGACAAAACUAUGGGUCAUGACUAUUGAAGCACUAACUAAAAAUGCACGUUACUGUUUUAUCUUUCAAAAGACAAACUAACUUCCCCAAUUAUUGAAUACCCCCUAAGGCUAGUCCCAACAGUUAGAGCAAAGAACACUUGGGACUGAUUUGGCCAUUGUAAAGCCAUAAUCCCAAAAAUGGCUGCAUUGAGCUUAACAUUACAAACAGAACACAAAACACGCAUGAAAGGGCCAGAUAAAACAACACUUGACUGAAUUUCACAACCUGUAGCUACCAAUUAUUACUCCCCUAAAAUUUUUUGCUCAAUGGCCUAUAUGCUUGACUAAUCACAAUCGACUUGAGAUUAACACUUGAUUUGUUAAACAAAUCAUGUGAUAUGGAAACAAUAACACUAAGCUAAAGAGCCAAGACAUGUUGAGGCCAUUUCAUUCAUUCUGAAAAUCAAAACUUCACACAUGGCUUUAGAUUCAGAAAAUGUGUACCUGGAAAGCAAAAUAAGAGAAAAAGAUGGGGAUCAGCAGCAGAAUAGUAUCAGUAGAUAAACAGCAACACCAGCUCGAACCCCAGGAAUGAUGUAUACCAAACUUCAAGUAAAUUGUUGAACAGCCAACAAACCCGCUAAAAACUUUAAACCAAAAGCUUUUGAUAACUGAAUUCAAUCCAUUUUUAUUCAAUAGCUUGAAGGAAUUUCAGAGGUUGAGAGGAAACCAAAAUUGCUAAAAAGCAAACCAAUAAAACAGUAAAGAAGAACUCUCAACCGUUGGUAUUUUCAGUUCUUUUUCUCUCUUCAUCCCCCUCCUCUACAGAAUGAAAAAUGAACUUAUAUAGACCUGCCUAGGGCAACUCUAAGGCAACCAACCAAUUCCUCAUUUACCCUCCUUGCCUUGAGUGUUUUUUUUACCCUUUUAACCCUCUUUCAAAAAUAUCUCCCAUCCCAGCUCUUAUGUCAUUCUGUAGAAGCUUCUAUUCUAACAGAGUUUUAUUCCCUCACAUCCCAAAAUUCCUAAAUUGACCUCUAACCAACUAACUAUUACAGUCUCUGCCCUUUCCUUUGAGACCCCUUUAAGUUUCAAACCUGACAAUUAACCCCUCUACUGAUUCAAGAAGAGUGACAAACAGGACUAAACGAACACAAAAGGCAUUGCACAUAUCAAAAUGAAAUUCUCGGAAGACCUCAAAAAAGAACUUGAACAAUUUCAAAGUUGUAAAGAAGAAACAAAUUUUGCCUUGAAUCAAACAUGAUCAUGAACUUCACAAGAACACUAAGCCAAUUAAACAUUGUCCAUAUUCAACUAGAAAAGGAAAUCAGCAAACUUAUUUAACUAACACAUGACUUAACGAUUUUAGACCUAAAUUAACUAAAACGACUAAUGAUCUAUUAAUCAAUUAUGAACUUAAACAGGGAAGAAGAAUAGAAAAAGGAACACGAACAAAAGUACAAAAAUACCUGAGGGUAGAAUCAAAAACAAAACUCACUAAAGAAGCCAACGACCAAGAUUACUUCGAAUUAAACGGAAACUGAGGAUAAUCAAUUGCUUUUUGACAAGAACAUCCCAUUAGCCUUUGUUCCCGGCUAAUUCGAAACUUGAAACUUCCCAGGAAGCUAAGCGUGGAUUCAUGACUUGGGGGACGACAUCAAGGUUUUCCUUAGAGUUUAGCCGUUAAAUCGACAUGAGGGAAGGCUAAUGGUGCAGGGACUUGAGUUUUUGAGCGAUUUGGGACAGAUUAAGUUUUUUUUUGGUUUGGUUUUCGAUUGAAGAUUCAAGAUGCACCAGUGGGAUUCGAAGGAACUAGGUUAGGGAUUCUGGAAGAGGACGGGAAGAGGGUCUUGGGGUGUUAAUUUGGGGCCAAUUGGAUGAGUUAGGGUUUUGGUCGUUCUCUUUUAUUCAAGAUUCGAGAGGUUGGGCUGGGAUUCGAGGGAGGGGGUUUGGAGAUUUGGAAAGAGGAGAAGGAGAGGAAUCUAUGGUGUAAAAAUGGGGCCGAUUGGAGCAACGCCGCCAGCGGAGGCGAUUUCCGGUAGGCGACUCACGGCGGAUACGGUGAGGGGUUCUCUGAGGGUGUGUGG